This 29-nucleotide non-coding RNA is filed under the name Rattus norvegicus (Norway rat). Lineage: Eukaryota; Metazoa; Chordata; Mammalia; Rodentia; Muridae. The record is from RNAcentral.
UGGAGAGGUCAUCAAAAGGACCACAGCUC